Passer montanus (Eurasian tree sparrow) is the source of this 7719-nucleotide RNA transcript. It is a transcript of the gene named amidohydrolase domain containing 2, with no coding region annotated. NCBI's taxonomy places the organism in Eukaryota, Metazoa, Chordata, Aves, Passeriformes, Passeridae. The record is from RefSeq and is a predicted model, not a curated record. The transcript is spliced from 17 exons.
GGUCACGUGCCGCGGGGCGGGCGGGGAGUCCCGGCACGUGCCGAGCGCGCUCACGUGACCAGGCGCGGGCGGUGCUGAGGGGCGCGGCGCCCCGCGGCGGGGACAGCGCCCCGGGCCCGGCGCUCAGCGGGCACCGCGGCGGGGCCCGGCCUCGAGGGGCUCGUUCCUCACAGCGUCGGCUCAGAGCACCCGGCAGGGGAAGGAACUCACCCUCCGCCUGCCCCGGAGGCGGUGCUCCGGUGCCUCCGCCCCUCGCCGGCUGUCCAGUCCCGCAGCGGCCGCUCGCACCGGAGCCACGGCCUGGCCUUGCUUCGCCACGCCCGGUCCCUUCCCCUUGCGCCGGCCACCGGGGCAUUCGGGCUUUCCGCCGCCUCCCGCUGCCCCGCCAUGCCGUCCAACAAAUCCGUCUCGGACGCGCCCAUCGUCCAGUUCACCAACUGCCGCAUCCUGAGGGACCACCAGCUCCAGAGGGAGGACCUGUGGGUGCGAGAGGGGAAGAUCCUCAACCCAGAGAAACUCUUCUUUGACGAAAAGGGCUCCGCUGAUGUCCAGCUGGACUGCAAGGACAGCAUCAUUGCCCCAGGAUUCAUUGAUGUCCAGAUCAAUGGAGGCUUCGGGGUGGACUUCUCUCUGGCUACGGAUGACUUCAAAUCAGGUAUUGACCUGGUCAGUCAGAAGAUCCUCUCCCAUGGAGUGACCUCUUUCUGUCCUACCCUGGUGACCUCUCCUCCAUCUGUGUACCACCAGAUUCUCCCUCAGAUCAGUGUAAGAAAUGGUGGAGCCCAUGGAGCAGGAAUUCUGGGAGCCCACCUGGAAGGGCCGUUCAUCAGCAAAGAGAAGAAGGGUGCCCACCCGGAGCACUGCCUCCGCACCUUUGAGGCAGGUGCUUUCCAGGACCUGCUUGCUACCUAUGGCUCCCUGGACUGUGUCCAGAUAGUGACCCUGGCCCCUGAAAUGAGGAGGAGCAGUGAGGUGAUCCGGGAGCUCACCAAGCGGGGCAUCUGCGUCUCCCUGGGUCACUCAGUGGCUAAUCUGUCCCAGGCCGAGGAGGCUGUGCAGCAUGGAGCAACCUUCAUCACUCACCUCUUCAAUGCCAUGCUGCCGUUCCACCACCGUGACCCUGGCAUUGUGGGGCUGCUGACAAGUGACAAGAUUCCGGCUGGGCGGAGGGUCUUCUAUGGCAUGAUUUCUGAUGGCAUCCACACCAACCCCGCUGCCCUGCGCAUUGCCCACCGAGCCCACCCCAAAGGGCUGGUGCUGGUGACAGAUGCAAUCGCUGGCAUGGGGCUGGCACCGGGUCGGCACACACUGGGUCAGCAGGUGGUGGAGAUCGAUGGGCUGAACACCUACAUCGCAGGCACAAAGACCCUGAGUGGCAGCGUGGCAACCAUGGACACUUGUGUUCGACACUUCCAAGAAGCCACAGGGUGCUCGGUAGAGACCGCGUUGGAGGCGGCGUCUCUGCAUCCCGCUCAGCUCCUGGGGAUUGAACAUAAAAAGGGGACACUGAAUUAUGACUCUGAUGCAGGCUCCCCAAGGUGUGUUCCAGGAGGAGCUGGAGUGGUGCAUUUCACAACUGGAGGCAGAUCUCCAUCUCACUCCACACCCCAAACUAGUCCACUUUGUAGAGCUGCAGACACAUGUCCUGCUGCUGGUCAGUACCUAACAUUGGAAGAGGAUUGUGAACCCCAUGUAAGAUGCUCAGGAACAUCUCACAGUAUUUGAGCUUCUGGAAGCACUUGGAGUUUCUUUUCAAUUGAAUGGUAGUUAUGGUGGUAUGAACACAGAGUACAUUAAGAGAAGAGUCAGUCAUCAGCGUCCCAUAGUGUGGAUUUUAAGGCCCACUGUAAACUGCUUCUUGUCUCUCCUGAUGUUUUCUGAGUGGAGCAGAAGAGACCCAACACAUUUUCAAGGUCCUGCACUCCCCUGAGACUCCUCUUGCAGAGAAACAGCAAGUGAUGAGCAAUGAGUUUGGGGAUUGUCAUCUCAAAAUGGAUGAGGGUCAGAAGAGCAUGGAGAAAGGCAUGACCCCUGAUGUUGUGGAAGUACAGCCAAGCAAGGGGCAGGCUGCAGAUGGUGUGAAACAAUCUGACCCACCCCCUGAGGUAAAGCCAGAGUUGUUCACAUCGUCUGGCAGCAGUUUCCGAUUUGAUUUUACGCUUUCCAAGACUGACCCAGAAGCUGAUCCUGGUGACAGUGGUGCUGAGCAGGUACAAAACAAUGUCAGAGCCACUAAGCAGGAGAACUGGAAUGGCGCCUUGAGUUUUGCUGCCUCUGGACAAGAACCCAAGUUUGCUUUCAACUUUGCCAUCCCAGAUGAAGACUGUCCUCAUCUUCAGUUACUUCCAGCGAGCCAACAUACAGAGCACACAGCAGAUGCUUCACUGCCUGCUGAAUCAGCAGCUCUGCCAGAGGCUGCAGCCUUGCAGAAGACUGAGGUGACAGGGAAUGCACCCAAAGAGGAUAGAAGCCAUGUCACAUCAAAGAUCCCCCAAACAGAGACAGCCCCUUCAGAUGAGGCAAUGAGAGAAAAAUCAACAGGAGGUGGAGCUGCCCAGAAGAAGAAAAAGAAGAAACAAAAAACACCUGUCAGUAAAAACAAAACAGAAGAAACUGAGACCAGCAGGAUGACAAAGGCAGAAGCUAACAGCUCUCAAAAUACAGAUACUUCCCAUCAGGAUGAGAAGACCUCUCAGCAGUCAGAUGAGCAGCUGUGGAAAGAGGUGGACUGGUGUGUGAACCAGCUGGAACUCGGCUUGAAGACACAGAAACCCACUCCAAAGCAGGCUGAGGAGGCUCUCAGGGCAAUCAGGACACUGCGCAGUGAGAAGGCUCCACUGGUGAAGAAGCGUCAGCUCAUGAGAGCCAUGUUUGGAGACUACAGGAAAAAGAUGCAGGAGGAGCUGUGCAGAGAGCUGAAGCUUAUGGAAACAGCUGCAAAAUCUGCCAGGAUCGUGGAGUUGAAGGGAAGCAUCCACAAGAAGAAUGGUCAGUUCAUCCGCAAGUGCUUGGGAGCUUGCAGGAAAAGCCAAGGUUCAGCAGAAUCCCCUUCAGAGUCACACAGGACACUUAACACAGGCUUAUUCAAUUCCACAACUCCCCAAGAAUUUCGCUUUAAUUUCUUCUAGAAAAGUGACUUUGACUAAAAGUGUGCCAGAUCUCCUGUAAAGUGAAGAAUGGUGGAAAAGUGCUGUGCAGUAGGAAAUGUCGUGCAUGAAUCUCUGGAUCUUCUUCCAGGGUGCCUUAUCUAGAAGUUUAAACCAGAUCUGCCUGUUAUGCAUAUGACCCCAAAACUCAGCAUACAUAAUUGUGUGCUCCUCUGUGCUCACGCUGGAAAGAGGCGCCUUUGAAAAGGUCAGCAGUGUGGAAGGAUCUGCUUUCUUUCCUGUAGAAUUGACAUCAACUAUAGAAUCUGUCUUCUAUACCAUGAGAUUUUCCCUUUCUCCCAUUGCUUUUAAAUAGAGCAGAGCCUUUCUAGCAGCUGAGGUGGCAAUGCAUAUGGCAGGGAAUGGUUUGGAAUCAAGAUCCAGAGCAGUGGAUAGCUGGGUGCUCCCACUCCCCAAGUCUGUGUGAAUGCAGCUUCUGGCAUCCAACAGAUACCAGCAGUGUGUCAUCCCUGACAUGGAGGAGCACGAGCUCAGGGUCUUUGGAGAAAAGUGAAUGAGACCCAUUUUUGCUCAUUCAUCUCUUUCACUGACAGGUGCAGACCUAGAAUAAAACUGCACAUCAUGAUUUAAUCCAGCCUAGAGAUGUAAAGAGAGUUGUUUCUAGGAAAACAGGGAAAAAUUUUGUUGCUGAAGCCAGGUUCUGGACAGCUAGGAAAUAUGUACAAUCAGCUCUUAAAUAAAGUUAACUUCAUAAGUAGCUCAGUUACAACCACUAGUGCCUCAGAAGGAAAAUUAGCUGCAUGCCAGCCUUGGGUGGUGGUAAAAUAAACUGUCACAGCCCAAAGACUCUCUUCCAUUUGAUUUGUAUUAAAUUUUGGCUUUUUUAAUGUGUGUCUCCAGUCAAUACUGCUUGAGUACUGAAGCCAUCUCUUAAGUUCAUGCAGGAGGUUUUUCCCACCAAGGGUAAAAAAACACUGAAGGAAGAGAAGUGCUGUGAAAGGCUACAUGCUAUCAGGUAUCCCUAGGGAGCAGUGCUUUCCUGCCUUUUAUAGUCCAGUUGGCCUGUGUGAAAAGUGGGAAAUAGUGGGAGUGCUGAGAGCAGCUGAGAGAUGGUGAAAAACAUUGGCUGUGAAAGACAAAAACCUGAUUGUUGCUCUAAAAAAUUGAUUUUAUUACUAAGCUCUGAUGGCAGGCAGUUGCAUUUGCAAUACUUCUUAAUUUCUUUUAAAUUAAAAAAUUUUAAAAGAAUAUUUUAAAGAAUUCCUGUCUGGGCAUAAGAAACUGAACCUGGAUAACAUAUAUGAUGAGGAGAAACAGGUAACAUAUAUGAUGAAGAGAAACAUGGAGAAAUGAAUUUGUCUUUUGGAAGUCAGUAGAUGAAAACUGGAAAUCGAGGUUGGCACACUUUAUUUGCCAAGGAGCACAGCUGUUACUUUGAAUGUGUAGAACAAUCUUAGACAGUAUUUUUUUUUAAUUUCCAGGAUUUUACAUUCAGCAUACAAAAGCUGUGUCCUUGACAUGCUUUUCAUGUUUUCACGCUGUUUACUGAGAUUCAAGAGCAUUGUCUACAUGACCUUGGAGCUACAGCUGUUUGCUUCCCUGGCUGGUUAUGCAGGAGAUGUCUAGGAGGUAGUUAUUUUUUUCGUUGUCAUGUCUCAGGUAAAGCUAGAGCUGCCAAAACAUUAUAAAAUCCUUGCUGUAGAAAGCUGCAGAAGUAUUCUGGAGAGCAUUCUUAUAUAAUUGCAUCAUGUUCAUGCUGCUCAUUAGGCAUUCACAAUUAAAUCAAAGAUACCAGUGAGGUGGACGUUUGGUGUAACCUGAUCCAGCACUUAUCUUCAAAAGGGUCAGAGAAAACUCCAUUCUAAAAUGAGAACAAUUCCUGUGGUUUUCCAGAGAUCUAAAUAAUGCUGACCUGUAAAACCAGUUCCUUUUUCUUUUUCUGUUCCUUCAUUACUGGAAGAUUUAAUAUAUGUGUUUGGGAAGGCAGAUGUUCAUCAGUGUGAUACAUCGUGCCAUGUCGGCUCGGGUCCGCGACUCAGCCGUGGAAUCUUAGACAAAGCAUUUUGCCUUUUUCUGUCUACUCCCUGUGUUUGUAGUCAAGGUGAUGCCUCCUGAGUUUUUGACAGAUGUGCCCAAGUCACUUCACUAGUGAUCGUAUCUUGAAGAGGUGUCUGAAACUACAGCAGUCUGUACUUCACCUUUAAGCUUUGCUGUAUUAUAUUUGUUUGAAAAGAAGCAAGCAAUGAUAUUAGAAGUUAGGAAAUGCCAUGGCUCCUUCACCCAUCCUUUUCCCCUUUUACAGGGGCCACAGUGCAGUCUUAGUAAUGUUUUUUAAACGCUGUGUUUUCCCCUUUUAGCAUUUCUUUAGGAUUUCAGUGCUAUUUAGGGUUUCAGUGAUGUCUCUUCUUACAGCAGUGUCGGGUUGGGAUCAGGGUUUUGCUCUACUAGUAACUGUAACACCUAUGGCUGGAGGUUUGGUCUAUGCCCCAAGGCAUUAAUGAUGUAUAGCAGCGAGGAGGAAGGGAGAUACUCUGAUCUACCUGGACAUCUCUGACCCACUGUUCUUGCUUUAAGGAAUGUAUCUCAGUUUUGAUAAAAAGUUGAGCUCAAUUCUGACCUGCCUGUUUCUGCAUCCUCUCCUCAGCUUUGUGCCUGGCUUUUGAGUUUGGUGCCACCAGGGUGACUGGACUGGGAAUACUGUAUCUCUUUGCUGAUUUGCCCCCUAAAUGUAGAGCAGCAGUGCCAGGCCCAGGCUUGUAGGCAGCAAAUUGCUUACAGAAGUAUCCAGCACAGCUGUGAGCUCAGGAAUGAAUAAAAGACAAGGCAAAAGGGGAUGGGAAGUACCACAGUGCUUCUAGAUCAAAACCUGCUUCACAGCAUCAGUCUUGGAGACCUAGAAGCUGAGGAUCAUCUUCUAAAGAGAACAGGGGGUUACAGGAACACUGUAACUUAUCUCAGACCAUUCACUGUAGCAAAGCAGGGGAUAUGUCUCACUUUUGGGAACAAAGUGAAGAAUUUUAGGGUUAUUUCUGUGGCAGGGUGAGGCCAAAAAUACACACAGAGGCAGCAGAAAUCUGGGUGUGAUCUCUGCUCCUUUUAGGCUUCUGUAAACAGAUCCCCUGAGAAAAGGUUAGGAAAUGCAAUCCCAUUCCAGACAGACUCUGCCUUCAAAUGGAGACCCUGCCUUCAGGGGAUGGCCUGCCAGCCCCCUCACAGGCUGGCCCUUGUCCCAGUUGUCAUUUUGGCUGUUACCCUGGACACUGAACAUUCAUCAGACAUUUGUCCAACCCCUUCUCCUGAGCUUAGUCAGUUGAAAUGCAUUUACUUCUCUUUGGGCUGCCCUUCUCUGAGUAACCAGGGGCCACAGUCACCAAGGAAUCGCCCACAAAGAAUCUUCAAGGGAUCCGUACAGAGUUCAGCUGGAAUUAUUUUCAGAAUCCCAGCAGGGACUUCCUCUCUCAAGACCAGAAAGAAGCCAACAUUGGUCCUGCUGAUCCUAUGGUUGAGGUGACUGAUGUUACCUUGUCUCACUUUGGUUUUCUAGAUGCUGAGACUGUGGACUUAGCAUCCAAACACUCCUAAAGGAUAACACAUUCUCUUCAUUUGGGGAGGGAAAUCCUAACUUUUCUUUGAAUUAGGAAGAGGAAGAAUUUACCAUUUCAGGAAAGACAUCAACUGGAACAUUCUAACAGAAGGAAAGUUAAAGAUCAAUUAACCUGCAGCUCCAUAACAUAAAAAGAGGAGAGAUGCUGCUAUUUUAAGACCAUACAGAACUGUGCCAGAUGAUCUUGUAUUUUUCUGCUGCUUAAAAUUUUUCUGCUGCUUACUGUUUCUGCUGUUUUCAUCUUUAGAACUGUGGAAUGUUUGUAAGACAUGCUACUUUAGAAAAUCCAGCAGUGACAUCCCCAGUCAUUUGAUUCCUGGCACCAGUCCUCCUGUGCAUGCUGGCAGCUGGGAGUUCUGACUACUAGCAUUUGAUCCAUGGUUUGGUCCAUUUGGCUUAUUCCAAGUACAUCAUCAGGCAUGACCAGCUCCUGGUAUCUCACCACCAUAAGGGAAGCAGUCUGGGUUGCUUAUCUCCCAUUAUCAUCAUGCUUGUUCUAAUGAAACAAAACCCAGAUGUGGAAGAAGCCAGGAAGGAGAGGAAAAGCAAACUGUCCCUGCCACCCUCUUCUUCCCCCAGUAAUGUUGGUAAACAACUGGAGUAACCUCAAGAAGAGCUGGAUAAGUAUCUGGAGAAGCUAAACCAUGUCUUCUUUGGCACAGAAGCCAGAAAAAGGUAUGGCCACCAUGAUCAGAAGUCCCUCCAUUGCAGAAGCACAGAUGUUGUGUCAGAAACUAAGAAAUACUCAGGAAGGGAGGUGGGACGUUCUCAGCAUCUGUCAGGCUACACAAAAGUUCAGGUAGGAGACUUAAAAUGAAUGUCAGACUCAACCCAAGGUAGAGUUCUUGGCUAAGGUGGUUAAUCCUGGCUGAUAUAGUGAAUCCUGAUGAAAUGCAUAGUCCGUGAACUUGGAGGGGGAAGAGGUGGGAGGAAGUCUUGCUAUUUUGAAGGUAAUGCAUUCCUAUUUUUGCACUGCUUAAUUCAACAAUACACAGUCUUCCAGAGAGA